AUGGGAAGCCCGCUGGGCAGCUGGCCGAGCCACAACCCGCAGAACUUCAGCCAGCUCGUCCCGGCCGAUCCCUCCGCCCAGCCCACGAAUGUCUCACCAACAACAUACAUUGCAGCACAUAGGACAGAUCCACCUCCCGAUCAAGUGAUCACGACGGAGCCCAGGAACAUCCUGUUGAGGCAUUUCUACCAGAACUCGGAGAACAAGCCGAGGCCGAAGAGGGCCGCCCCGGAGAGUGCUGCCCUGCGCAACGGCAAGCAGGCGCGGAGCCCCGCUGAGGGCGGAAGCCAGUCGAGCACGAGAAGCUGA
Molecule: ribosomal RNA, 309 nt
Filed under: Triticum aestivum (bread wheat)
Lineage: Eukaryota; Viridiplantae; Streptophyta; Magnoliopsida; Poales; Poaceae
Description: partial small subunit ribosomal RNA
Source: RNAcentral